This 497-nucleotide ribosomal RNA is filed under the name uncultured bacterium. RNAcentral's name for it is "partial 16S ribosomal RNA". It matches the Rfam family "Bacterial small subunit ribosomal RNA", at positions 28 to 507 of the family's 1533-position model. The record is from RNAcentral.
GAUGAACGCUGGCGGUGUGCCUAAUACAUGCAAGUCGAGCGAACAGACGAGGAGCUUACUCCUCUGACGUUAGCGGCGGACGGGUGAGUAACACGUGGAUAACCUACCUAUAAGACUGGGAUGACUUCGGGAAACCGGAGCUAAUACCGGAUAACAUGUUGAACCGCAUGGUUCAACAGUGAAAGACGGUCUUGCUGUCACUUAUAGAUGGAUCCGCGUCGCAUUAGCUAGUUGGUAAGGUAACGGCUUACCAAGGCAACGAUGCGUAGCCGACCUGAGAGGGUGAUCGGCCACACUGGAACUGAGACACGGUCCAGACUCCUACGGGAGGCAGCAGUAGGGAAUCUUCCGCAAUGGGCGAAAGCCUGACGGAGCAACGCCGCGUGAGUGAAGAAGGUCUUCGGAUCGUAAAACUCUGUUAUUAGGGAAGAACAAAUGUGUAAGUAACUAUGCACGUCUUGACGGUACCUAAUCAGAAAGCCACGGCUAACUACGUG